Non-coding RNA from Caenorhabditis elegans, 81 nucleotides. The record is from Ensembl. Lineage: Eukaryota; Metazoa; Nematoda; Chromadorea; Rhabditida; Rhabditidae.
GUAGUAAUCGAAACAUUUCGAGGAAAACGAAGGAACGUCACCGUGAGCAACAAGGAAAACGAAUUCAAUAAACACCAAGCC